RNAcentral lists this ribosomal RNA (254 nucleotides) under uncultured bacterium. RNAcentral describes it as "partial 16S ribosomal RNA". It matches the Rfam family "Bacterial small subunit ribosomal RNA", at positions 524 to 776 of the family's 1533-position model. The record is from RNAcentral.
UACGUAGGGUGCGAGCGUUGUCCGGAAUUAUUGGGCGUAAAGAGCUCGUAGGCGGUGUGUCACGUCGUCCGUGAAAACCUGCAGCUUAACUGUGGGCGUGCGGUCGAUACGGGCAUCACUGGAGUUCGGCAGGGGAGACUGGAAUUCCUGGUGUAGCGGUGAAAUGCGCAGAUAUCAGGAGGAACACCGGUGGCGAAGGCGGGUCCCUGGGCCGAUACUGACGCUGAGGAGCGAAAGCGUGGGGAGCAAACAGG